CCCUAGUAACGGCGAGUGAAGCGGCAACAGCUCACAUUUGAAAUCUGGCGCAAGCCCGAGUUGUAAUUUGUAGAGGAUGCUUCUAGGUAGCGACCGGUCUAAGUUCCUUGGAACAGGACGUCAUAGAGGGUGAGAAUCCCGUAUGUGACUGGCCCGCACCUUCUACGUAGCUCCUUCGACGAGUCGAGUUGUUUGGGAAUGCAGCUCUAAAUGGGAGGUAAAUUUCUUCUAAAGCUAAAUACCGGCCAGAGACCGAUAGCGCACAAGUAGAGUGAUCGAAAGAUGAAAAGCACUUUGGAAAGAGAGUUAAAAAGCACGUGAAAUUGUUGAAAGGGAAGCGCUCACAACCAGACUUCUGGGCGGUGUUCCGCCGGUCUUCUGACCGGUCUACUCACCGUCCCGAGGCCAACAUCAUCUGGGACCGCCGGAUAAGACCUUAGGAAUGUAGCUCCCCUCGGGGAGUGUUAUAGCCUGUGGUGAUGCGGCGCGUCUCGGGUGAGGUCCGCGCUUCGGCAAGGAUGUUGGCGUAAUGGUUGUCAGCGGCCCGUCUUGAAACACGGACCAAGGAGUCUAACAUCUAUGCGAGUGUUCGGGUGUCAAACCCCUACGCGUAAUGAAAGUGAACGGAGGUGGGAAGGGUAACCUGCACCAUCGACCGAUCCUGAUGUCCUCGGAUGGAUUUGAGUAAGAGCAUAGCUGUUGGGACCCGAAAGAUGGUGAACUAUGCCUGAAUAGGGUGAAGCCAGAGGAAACUCUGGUGGAGGCUCGCAGCGGUUCUG
This 779-nucleotide ribosomal RNA is filed under the name Ramularia glennii. RNAcentral describes it as "eukaryotic LSU rRNA". It matches the Rfam family "Eukaryotic large subunit ribosomal RNA", at positions 78 to 888 of the family's 3401-position model. The record is from RNAcentral. Lineage: Eukaryota; Fungi; Ascomycota; Dothideomycetes; Mycosphaerellales; Mycosphaerellaceae.